RNAcentral lists this ribosomal RNA (712 nucleotides) under Kocuria palustris. Its description in RNAcentral is "bacterial SSU rRNA". It matches the Rfam family "Bacterial small subunit ribosomal RNA", at positions 62 to 781 of the family's 1533-position model. The record is from RNAcentral. Lineage: Bacteria; Bacillati; Actinomycetota; Actinomycetes; Micrococcales; Micrococcaceae.
CCCUCACGUCCUUUUGUCUCGCGUUGUCGGAUGAGUGGCGAACGGGUUUAUGUUAAUACGUGAGUAACCUGCCCUUGACUCUGGGAUAAGCCCGGUGAAACUGGGUCUAAUACUGGAUGCUACAUGUCACCGCAUGGUGGUGUGUGGAAAGGGUUUACUGGUCUUGGAUGGGCUCACGGCCUAUCAGCUUGUUGGUGAGGUAAUGGCUCACCAAGGCGACGACGGGUAGCCGGCCUGAGAGGGUGACCGGCCACACUGGGACUGAGACACGGCCCAGACUCCUACGGGAGGCAGCAGUGGGGAAUAUUGCACAAUGGGCGAAAGCCUGAUGCAGCGACGCCGCGUGAGGGAUGACGGCCUUCGGGUUGUAAACCUCUUUCAGCAGGGAAGAAGCCACAAGUGACGGUACCUGCAGAAGAAGCGCCGGCUAACUACGUGCCAGCAGCCGCGGUAAUACGUAGGGCGCAAGCGUUGUCCGGAAUUAUUGGGCGUAAAGAGCUCGUAGGCGGUUUGUCGCGUCUGCUGUGAAAGCCCGGGGCUUAACCCCGGGUGUGCAGUGGGUACGGGCAGACUAGAGUGCAGUAGGGGAGACUGGAAUUCCUGGUGUAGCGGUGGAAUGCGCAGAUAUCAGGAGGAACACCGAUGGCGAAGGCAGGUCUCUGGGCUGUUACUGACGCUGAGGAGCGAAAGCAUGGGGAGCGAACAGGAUUAG